GCGUGGGGCGGUAACAGGAAUUAGCUUGCUAAUUUGCUGACGAGCGGCGGACGGGUGAGUAAUGCCUGGGAAUAUGCCUUGAUGUGGGGGAUAACUAUUGGAAACGAUAGCUAAUACCGCAUAAUGCCUACGGGCCAAAGAGGGGGAUCUUCGGACCUCUCGCGUCAAGAUUAGCCCAGGUGGGAUUAGCUAGUUGGUGGGGUAACGGCUCACCAAGGCGACGAUCCCUAGCUGGUUUGAGAGGAUGAUCAGCCACACUGGAACUGAGACACGGUCCAGACUCCUACGGGAGGCAGCAGUGGGGAAUAUUGCACAAUGGGGGAAACCCUGAUGCAGCCAUGCCGCGUGUAUGAAGAAGGCCUUCGGGUUGUAAAGUACUUUCAGUUGUGAGGAAGGCGGUAACGUUAAUAGCGUUGCCGUUUGACGUUAGCAACAGAAGAAGCACCGGCUAACUCCGUGCCAGCAGCCGCGGUAAU
Molecule: ribosomal RNA, 476 nt
Filed under: uncultured Photobacterium sp.
Lineage: Bacteria; Pseudomonadati; Pseudomonadota; Gammaproteobacteria; Vibrionales; Vibrionaceae
Description: bacterial SSU rRNA
Rfam family: Bacterial small subunit ribosomal RNA
Source: RNAcentral